RNAcentral lists this ribosomal RNA (546 nucleotides) under uncultured Lentisphaerota bacterium. Its description in RNAcentral is "uncultured Lentisphaerae bacterium partial 16S ribosomal RNA". The record is from RNAcentral. Lineage: Bacteria; Pseudomonadati; Lentisphaerota.
CUUCCUCCCCGGGUACUGUCAUUAUUCAUCCCCGGUGACAGCAGUUUACGACCCGAAGGCCUUCAUCCUGCACGCGGCAUUGCUCCGUCAGGCUUUCGCCCAUUGCGGAAGAUUCUCGACUGCAGCCUCCCGUAGGAGUCUGGGSAGUUCUCAGUCCCAGUGUGGGUGACCAUCCUCUCAGACCACCUACCCGUCAUUGCCUUGGUGGGCCGUUACCUCACCAACUAGCUAAUGGGACGCGAGCACAUCCUCUAGCAGUAAACCUUUAUCCCACACCUCAUGCGAGAUGCUGGACACAUUCGGUAUUAGCCCUUCUUUCGAAAGGUUAUUCCCAACUAAAGGGUAGCUUACUCACGUGUUCCUCACCCUUGCGCCACUUGCGUAUUGCUACACACGUUCGACUUGCAUGCCUAAUCCAUGCCGCCAGCGUUCGUUCUGAGCCAUGAUCAAACUCUAAUCGAAUUCCCGCGGCCGCCAUGGCGGCCGGGAGCAUGCGACGUCGGGCCCAAUUCGCCCUAUAGUGAGUCGUAUUACAAUUCACUGGCC